CACUCCUCCGGGAGGCAGCAGUGGGGAAUAUUGGACCAUGGGCGCAAGCCUGAUCCAGCCAUGCCGCGUGAGUGAUGAAGGCCCUAGGGUUGUAAAGCUCUUUCACCGGUGAAGAUAAUGACGGUAACCGGAGAAGAAGCCCCGGCUAACUUCGUGCCAGCAGCCGCGGUAAUACGAAGGGGGCUAGCGUUGUUCGGAUUUACUGGGCGUAAAGCGCACGUAGGCGGACUAUUAAGUCAGGGGUGAAAUCCCGGGGCUCAACCCCGGAACUGCCUUUGAUACUGGUAGUCUUGAGGUCGAGAGAGGUGAGUGGAAUUCCGAGUGUAGAGGUGAAAUUCGUAGAUAUUCGGAGGAACACCAGUGGCGAAGGCGGCUCACUGGCUCGAUACUGACGCUGAGGUGCGAAAGCGUGGGGAGCAAACAGGAUUAGAAACCCCUGUAGUCCCA
Molecule: ribosomal RNA, 447 nt
Filed under: uncultured organism
Description: partial 16S ribosomal RNA
Rfam family: Bacterial small subunit ribosomal RNA
Source: RNAcentral